ACCCAGACUCCUACGGGAGGCAGCAGUGGGGGAUAUUGCACAAUGGGGGAAACCCUGAUGCAGCGACGCCGCGUGGGUGAAGAAGUAUUUCGGUAUGUAAAGCCCUAUCAGCAGGGAAGAAAGAAGACGGUACCUGACUAAGAAGCCCCGGCUAACUACGUGCCAGCAGCCGCGGUAAUACGUAGAGGGCGAGCGUUAUCCGGAUUCACUGGGUGUAAAGGGAGCGUAGACGGCCGUGCAAGCCAGGAGUGAAAGCCCGGGGCCCAACCCCGGGACUGCUCUUGGAACUGUGCGGCUGGAGUGCGGGAGGGGCAGGCGGAAUUCCUGGUGUAGCGGUGAAAUGCGUAGAUAUCAGGAGGAACACCGGCGGCGAAGGCGGCCUGCUGGACCGCGACUGACGUUGAGGCUCGAAAGCGUGGGGAGCAAACAGGAUUAGAUACCCUGGUA
This 447-nucleotide ribosomal RNA is filed under the name uncultured bacterium. Its description in RNAcentral is "bacterial SSU rRNA". It matches the Rfam family "Bacterial small subunit ribosomal RNA", at positions 329 to 792 of the family's 1533-position model. The record is from RNAcentral.